Schistosoma margrebowiei is the source of this 45-nucleotide non-coding RNA. NCBI's taxonomy places the organism in Eukaryota, Metazoa, Platyhelminthes, Trematoda, Strigeidida, Schistosomatidae. The record is from Rfam.
AUCCAGUGGAUGAGUCCAAAAUAGAACGAAAUGCGCGUUCUGGAU